RNAcentral lists this ribosomal RNA (230 nucleotides) under uncultured microorganism. RNAcentral's name for it is "partial 16S ribosomal RNA". It matches the Rfam family "Bacterial small subunit ribosomal RNA", at positions 524 to 753 of the family's 1533-position model. The record is from RNAcentral.
AACGUAGGAGGCGAGCGUUAUCCGGAUUUACUGGGCGUAAAGCGCGUGUAGGCGGCGAAGAAAGUUGGAUGUGAAAGCUCCUGGCUUAACUGGGAGAGGUCGUUCAAAACUUCUUUGCUUGAGUUUGGUAGAGGAAAAUGGAAUUCCGGGAGUAGUGGUGAAAUGCGUAGAUAUCCGGAGGAACACCAGUGGCGAAAGCGAUUUUCUGGACCAAUACUGACGCUCAGACG